CGAGUUUGUACCUCCCAAAAAGGCCGUGUAUAACUCUAAUAGGUCAAGGCAGGGUAUAUCCAGAGUAUAUCAAGGUACAGCCCCUCAACCUCACAGCGCAGAGCUUUGGGCUGUUUUGUGGAUGCCACCUCUCCUCUGGCCAUGGAGAGGGAUCAGUCGGUAGCGCAGGCGGGCCUCUCCAGACACCAGCAGCAUGGUGUGGGGCAUAUCGUGGAGGGACACGUGUCACACUCACAUGUCCCACAGGACUCCUACAAGGAGGACAGAAUGCAAUCCAGCAAGGUCCAGAUCACAGAGGAAAUGAGAGAGGGCAUCAUUCGAGCAAGCUCGACGUUUUCGCCGAAUCAACAACAGUUUUGGGUGUUUGUCCUGAAACACAUGAUGAGUCCUCGAAAUGUACUUGAGAAGGAGCGUCACUACAGAAGGGCUUCGAAGCUUCGUCUUCGAUUCAAACGUGACGGCGAUUUUGCGAGGCAAAGGACGCAGCUGAACUUGUGUGGCUGAGUUGGGGCAAGGGACGUCCGUUGCAGAAGACAGAGCCACCUGUGCUACGAGUUGUGAAAGAGAUACACAGCACAAGUGUGCAGGAGUAUAUGGCAUCUAUCCGAAAGGACCUUGGCUGAAGUGACGGUACAUCAGCUGGUAUCGGCUGAGAACCGACGGAGGCUGGUCGGGACGCUCGCUGGCCGGACCUGGACCACCGCAGACGACCCACGCCGUCUGGCUUGGCCCACCAGAGGAGAUCGACGCCCAAGAGUCUCGCUUCCCUGACGGCUGGCUCUUCAGCUGCAGCAAUGAGAGCCGCCCUGGUCCCAUGCGUUCGCAUUCUGCACAGACUCGCCUGCACUUACGAGCGCGUGCAGGCACGAGGUGGUCAUUUUGUGACUACGGGACGUCGUUUCGAGCUUCAAGACUAGUGGUGUCAAUCGGAACUUGAAUCUUCGGAAUUCCGAUUUUGUCCUAUGUCCAAUUCGGAAUUCGGUUGGACAAUGGCAGCAGGCUUUGGACAACUUUGGACAAUCGCUUGCUACACCUCAACAUUUUUAAAAAGUAAUCGUGGUUAACAUUGAUUGGCUAUUAGAAAGUCCAGCUUUCGAUAUGACUAACACUUUUGAGCUUGUAACGGUACAUGAAAAGCAAAUUAAAUAACAGUGUUGAGUGUAAACUAUUGCGUAGGUGUCGGACAUCUUUGGACAAAUGGCUGGCUUGGACAUUUUUGGACGUACAAUCGACGUAGGCAUUGGACAUUGGACGGACUUUGGACAUACGUUUUCCGAAAUUGACACCACUAUUCAAGACGUCGUGAGCUGCGGCUCAUCGCGAUCUGCAAGAUGUCGCGAGCUGCGUGCCAAGCAGCAAAGCGUCGCGUGCGAUUCAAGAGACAAUGAUGGUACGCUUCCCUGUGGAGCGUCGGACACUAGUGAUUGUGGUCGUGCUCCAGCGGGAGCUGAAACUGUGCAUUGUGUGAUGUCAGUUGCAAAAACAGGCUUCGCUUCUUGUAGACACUUACUUUCGAAAAUGGAAAGAGUGGGGAGCCAUGUUGGAUUUAUUAUUCACUGUGAUUCGUGUCAUUUAAUUUUCUAAGUUUCCACUGUCCGUUCGGUGGUCGCAGUGUCGCGCGGCGGUACAGUGUAGCGGUGUGCAGUAGUAUUUGAACGAGACCAACGCCGCGGUUUGAGGCCGCUCCGCGCGGCCGCCGGUGCGGGUGCCCGCGUACUUGAAACGUGUGUUGUCACGUGACUGCGCCGAGCCGAGGUCGGGGUCGCUCCCCUGCCAGUGAGUCAGUCGGUAUCUGGCACUGGCUCGCUCUUGAUCUCCUUUGUUUCCUUUGCCUUGUUGCACCCUGAACAGGUGUUCUGAACCUGCACAGGUAUCCUCAUCCCGCCGAUGUGUUAACAAUUUAUUAAUGGCUCAUGCGGUUAUUUUCAUGAUUGUAUGUAAUUUGCAAUCGCUGUUAAAAUGAAUACUGCGCAUAUAUAAACGGCCGUAACGCAGCGAGCUCCGUCGGCGCCUGGGGUGGCGUCGGUGGCUGGUGGUCUGUAUCUAUUUGAAGAGACCAUAUUAAGGUCUUGAUAACGUCGCCGUUGCCGACGCUGACGUCGCGCCGGCCGCGUUGCCGUCUUAGCGCCUGGGGCCGGCUUCGCCGCGCGCGUCGUUGGCGGCAUCGGUAUCUAUGUUCAGCUGACACUUAAUAGCAUAUCCCGAUAGUUAAGACACUACGAAGACACUUAUGUGUGCAGCCGCUGACCAUCUGUGUGGGCAGCCGCUGCAGCCGCUGACCAUGUGAUCUGGACGGUUCCAAACAUGCAAAUGUUGAGUGUGGCAUGGCAUCGGGCCGGACGGCGAUGUUUGUCUGUGCGUUUUUCGCAGAAGGGGUGGGAGAGGAGGGAUUGUAAGAGCACGGGGACUAGCUGCUUUUUUGCUUUGAUCUGAGUUGCGUGCCUUGCCUCUUUUUGGAGGUUUCAUGUCAGUGUGAAAUAAAUGUUUUGGAAAAAAAAUAUAUAAACGGCCAGUCAGCUCA
This 2521-nucleotide long non-coding RNA is filed under the name Amphibalanus amphitrite. RNAcentral's name for it is "uncharacterized LOC122373211". The record is from RNAcentral. Lineage: Eukaryota; Metazoa; Arthropoda; Thecostraca; Balanomorpha; Balanidae.